Molecule: ribosomal RNA, 1797 nt
Filed under: Vibrio cholerae
Lineage: Bacteria; Pseudomonadati; Pseudomonadota; Gammaproteobacteria; Vibrionales; Vibrionaceae
Description: partial 23S ribosomal RNA
Rfam family: Bacterial large subunit ribosomal RNA
Source: RNAcentral
CGUGAUAUCCUGUCUGAAUAUGGGGGGACCAUCCUCCAAGGCUAAAUACUCCUGACUGACCGAUAGUGAACCAGUACCGUGAGGGAAAGGCGAAAAGAACCCCUGUGAGGGGAGUGAAAUAGAACCUGAAACCGUGUACGUACAAGCAGUAGGAGCACCUUCGUGGUGUGACUGCGUACCUUUUGUAUAAUGGGUCAGCGACUUAUAUUCAGUGGCAAGGUUAACCGUAUAGGGGAGCCGUAGCGAAAGCGAGUCUUAACUGGGCGCUCAGUCUCUGGAUAUAGACCCGAAACCGGGUGAUCUAGCCAUGGGCAGGUUGAAGGUUGAGUAACAUCAACUGGAGGACCGAACCGACUAAUGUUGAAAAAUUAGCGGAUGACUUGUGGCUAGGGGUGAAAGGCCAAUCAAACUCGGAGAUAGCUGGUUCUCCCCGAAAGCUAUUUAGGUAGCGCCUCGGACGAAUACUACUGGGGGUAGAGCACUGUUAAGGCUAGGGGGUCAUCCCGACUUACCAACCCUUUGCAAACUCCGAAUACCAGUAAGUACUAUCCGGGAGACACACGGCGGGUGCUAACGUCCGUCGUGGAGAGGGAAACAACCCAGACCGCCAGCUAAGGUCCCAAAGUAUUGCUAAGUGGGAAACGAUGUGGGAAGGCUCAGACAGCUAGGAUGUUGGCUUAGAAGCAGCCAUCAUUUAAAGAAAGCGUAAUAGCUCACUAGUCGAGUCGGCCUGCGCGGAAGAUGUAACGGGGCUAAGCAAUACACCGAAGCUGCGGCAAUGUCUUUUAGACAUUGGGUAGGGGAGCGUUCUGUAAGCCGUUGAAGGUGAAUCGUAAGGUUUGCUGGAGGUAUCAGAAGUGCGAAUGCUGACAUGAGUAACGACAAAGGGGGUGAAAAACCUCCUCGCCGGAAGACCAAGGGUUCCUGUCCAACGUUAAUCGGGGCAGGGUGAGUCGACCCCUAAGGUGAGGCCGAAAGGCGUAAUCGAUGGGAAACGGGUUAAUAUUCCCGUACUUCUGACUAUUGCGAUGGGGGGACGGAGAAGGCUAGGUGGGCCAGGCGACGGUUGUCCUGGUUCAAGUGCGUAGGCUUGAGAGUUAGGUAAAUCCGGCUCUCUCUAAGGCUGAGACACGACGUCGAGCUACUACGGUAGUGAAGUCAUUGAUGCCAUGCUUCCAGGAAAAGCCUCUAAGCUUCAGAUAGUCAGGAAUCGUACCCCAAACCGACACAGGUGGUCGGGUAGAGAAUACCAAGGCGCUUGAGAGAACUCGGGUGAAGGAACUAGGCAAAAUGGUACCGUAACUUCGGGAGAAGGUACGCUCUUGAUGGUGAAGUCCCUCGCGGAUGGAGCUGACGAGAGUCGCAGAUACCAGGUGGCUGCAACUGUUUAUUAAAAACACAGCACUGUGCAAAAUCGCAAGAUGACGUAUACGGUGUGACGCCUGCCCGGUGCCGGAAGGUUAAUUGAUGGGGUUAGCGCAAGCGAAGCUCUUGAUCGAAGCCCCGGUAAACGGCGGCCGUAACUAUAACGGUCCUAAGGUAGCGAAAUUCCUUGUCGGGUAAGUUCCGACCUGCACGAAUGGCGUAAUGAUGGCCACGCUGUCUCCACCCGAGACUCAGUGAAAUUGAAAUCGCUGUGAAGAUGCAGUGUACCCGCGGCUAGACGGAAAGACCCCGUGAACCUUUACUACAGCUUGGCACUGAACAUUGAACCUACAUGUGUAGGAUAGGUGGGAGGCUAUGAAGACGUGACGCCAGUUGCGUUGGAGCCGUCCUUGAAAUACCACCCUUGUAUGU